UGAACGCUAGCUACAGGCUUAACACAUGCAAGUCGAGGGGCAGCAUUUUAGUUUGCUUGCAAACUGAAGAUGGCGACCGGCGCACGGGUGAGUAACACGUAUCCAACCUGCCGAUAACUCCGGAAUAGCCUUUCGAAAGAAAGAUUAAUACCGGAUAGCAUACGAAUAUCGCAUGAUAUUUUUAUUAAAGAAUUUCGGUUAUCGAUGGGGAUGCGUUCCAUUAGUUUGUUGGCGGGGUAACGGCCCACCAAGACAACGAUGGAUAGGGGUUCUGAGAGGAAGGUCCCCCACAUUGGAACUGAGACACGGUCCAAACUCCUACGGGAGGCAGCAGUGAGGAAUAUUGGUCAAUGGGCGAGAGCCUGAACCAGCCAAGUAGCGUGAAGGAUGAAGGCUCUAUGGGUCGUAAACUUCUUUUAUAUGGGAAUAAAGUUUUCCACGUGUGGAAUUUUGUAUGUACCAUAUGAAUAAGGAUCGGCUAACUCCGUGCCAGCAGCCGCGGUAAUACGGAGGAUCCGAGCGUUAUCCGGAUUUAUUGGGUUUAAAGGGAGCGUAGGUGGAUUGUUAAGUCAGUUGUGAAAGUUUGCGGCUCAACCGUAAAAUUGCAGUUGAAACUGGCAGUCUUGAGUACAGUAGAGGUGGGCGGAAUUCGUGGUGUAGCGGUGAAAUGCUUAGAUAUCACGAAGAACUCCGAUUGCGAAGGCAGCUCACUAGACUGUCACUGACACUGAUGCUCGAAAGUGUGGGUAUCAAACAGGAUUAGAUACCCUGGUAGUCCACACAGUAAACGAUGAAUACUCGCUGUUUGCGAUAUACAGUAAGCGGCCAAGCGAAAGCAUUAAGUAUUCCACCUGGGGAGUACGCCGGCAACGGUGAAACUCAAAGGAAUUGACGGGGGCCCGCACAAGCGGAGGAACAUGUGGUUUAAUUCGAUGAUACGCGAGGAACCUUACCCGGGCUUAAAUUGCAACAGAAUAUAUUGGAAACAGUAUAGCCGUAAGGCUGUUGUGAAGGUGCUGCAUGGUUGUCGUCAGCUCGUGCCGUGAGGUGUCGGCUUAAGUGCCAUAACGAGCGCAACCCUUAUCUUUAGUUACUAACAGGUGAUGCUGAGGACUCUAGAGAGACUGCCGUCGUAAGAUGUGAGGAAGGUGGGGAUGACGUCAAAUCAGCACGGCCCUUACGUCCGGGGCUACACACGUGUUACAAUGGGGGGUACAGAAGGCGGCUACCUGGUGACAGGAUGCUAAUCCCAAAAACCUCUCUCAGUUCGGAUCGAAGUCUGCAACCCGACUUCGUGAAGCUGGAUUCGCUAGUAAUCGCGCAUCAGCCAUGGCGCGGUGAAUACGUUCCCGGGCCUUGUACACACCGCCCGUCAAGCCAUGAAAGCCGGGGGUACCUGAAGUACGUAACCGCAAGGAGCGUCCUAGGGUAAAACUGGUAAUUGGGG
RNAcentral lists this ribosomal RNA (1447 nucleotides) under uncultured organism. RNAcentral's name for it is "SSU rRNA". It matches the Rfam family "Bacterial small subunit ribosomal RNA". The record is from RNAcentral.